This 1314-nucleotide small RNA is filed under the name Pongo abelii (Sumatran orangutan). RNAcentral's name for it is "retained intron". The record is from RNAcentral. Lineage: Eukaryota; Metazoa; Chordata; Mammalia; Primates; Hominidae.
AAACCCAGUGGCUCUGGGACAUCUUAGGCGUUGAAAUCUGCAUUCCUGUGAAACCACUAGUGGGGCCAUCCUAGAGGCACUGACAUGUGCCUGGGUGGCGGAUGGCAAUCAUUUGGGAAGGUGAGGGCAGAGGGGAAGGAGAGCAGCCUGCCCACAGUAGUAGGUCAGGGUGGGGGUUCCCAGCUUCAGCACUGUUGACAUUUGGGGCCAGAUAGUUCCUAUGGGGGGCUGUCCUGUGUAUCAUAGGGUGUUUAGCAGCAUCAUGGACCUCUCCCGACUAGAUGCCAGUGGCAACCCCCUGACUCAUCAGUAGGGACAGCCAGAAAUGCCUCCAGUGUUGCUGAAGGCCCCCUAGUGGUUCUCAUUCCAUUGAGAGCUGUGGUCUGGAGCCAGAGGCCAGCUUGGACAGGGCCAUGGGGGGACCUAGUGGGUGGCAAUAGUGAGGAUUGCUUUCUGGCACAUCCCAUUCUCUCACCAGCACCCCCAAGAGCCCACAGGGCAGCUGCUGGCCUCAGAGUGCACUGCGUGGUCAGUGUCCAGGUCCAGUCCUGGGGGUGACCACAGCGUCUGACCUGUGUUCCCUGCAGGUCCCAGUGUCCAGCCACCGCAACCCCCUGCUGGACCUGGCUGCUUACGACCAGGAGGGCCGCCGGUUCGACAACUUCAGCUCUCUGAGCAUCCAGUGGGAGUCCACCAGGCCACUGUUGGCCAGCAUCGAGCCUGAGCUGCCCAUGCAGCUGGUGUCCCAGGACGAUGAGAGUGGCCAAAAGAAGCUGCAUGGUUUGCAGGCCAUUUUGGUUCACGAGGCAUCAGGAACCACAGCCAUCACUGCCACUGCCACUGGCUACCAGGAGUCCCACCUCAGCUCUGCCAGAACAAAGCAGCCGCAUGACCCUCUGGUGCCUCUGUCAGCCUCCAUAGAGCUCAUCCUGGUGGAGGACGUGAGGGUGAGCCCAGAAGAGGUGACCAUCUACAACCACCCUGGCAUCCAGGCGGAGCUCCGCAUCAGGGAAGGCUCAGGUUACUUCUUCCUCAACACCAGCACCGCAGAUGUUGUCAAGGUGGCCUACCAGGAGGCCAGGGGUGUCGCCAUGGUAAGCUUGGGCCAUCGGUCCCCACUGUUGGUUUUCAUUCCUUAUCUGGGCUGUUGUGUGGUUAACUGAUUGAUUAUUUUGAAAGCUAGUACUUGGCUUACACUCAGAAUCCUAGAACUUUGGGAGGGCGAGGCAGGAAGAUCACUUGAGCCCAGGAGUUCAAGACCAGCCUGGACAAUAUAGUGAGACCCCCCAUCUCCACAAAAAAAAAAAAGAAAAA